AGAUUGAACGCUGGCGGCAUGCCUAACACAUGCAAGUCGAACGGGAGUAGCAAUACUCUAGUGGCGGACGGGUGAGGAAUACGUAGGAAUUUGCCCUUAAGUGGGGGAUAACCCGGGGAACCCGGAUUAAUACCGCAUGACCUCGAAAGAGCAAAGUGGGGGAUCGCAAGACCUCACGCUUUUGGAGAAGCCUACGUCGGAUUAGCUAGUUGGUGAGGUAAUGGCUCACCGAAGGCGACGAUCCGUAACUGGUCUGAGAGGAUGAUCAGUCACACCGG
This 278-nucleotide ribosomal RNA is filed under the name uncultured soil bacterium. RNAcentral's name for it is "partial 16S ribosomal RNA". It matches the Rfam family "Bacterial small subunit ribosomal RNA", at positions 26 to 316 of the family's 1533-position model. The record is from RNAcentral.